GAUGGACGCUGGCGGCGUGCCUAAUACAUGCAAGUCGAACGAAACUUCUUUAUCACCGAGUGCUUGCACUCACCGAUAAAGAGUUGAGUGGCGAACGGGUGAGUAACACGUGGGCAACCUGCCCAAAAGAGGGGGAUAACACUUGGAAACAGGUGCUAAUACCGCAUAACCAUAGUUACCGCAUGGUAACUAUGUAAAAGGUGGCUAUACUACCGCUUUUGGAUGGGCCCGCGGCGCAUUAGCUAGUUGGUAGGGUAAAGGCUUACCAAGGCAAUGAUGCGUAGCCGAAUUGAGAGGUUGAUCGGCCACAUUGGGACUGAGACACGGCCCAAACUCCUACGGGAGGCAGCAGUAGGGAAUCUUCCACAAUGGGCGAAAGCCUGAUGGAGCAACGCCGCGUGGGUGAAGAAGGUCUUCGGAUCGUAAAACCCUGUUGUUAGAGAAGAAAGUGCGUGAGAGUAACUGUUCACGUUUCGACGGUAUCUAACCGGAAAGCCACGGCUAACUACGUG
This 512-nucleotide ribosomal RNA is filed under the name uncultured bacterium. RNAcentral describes it as "partial 16S ribosomal RNA". It matches the Rfam family "Bacterial small subunit ribosomal RNA", at positions 28 to 507 of the family's 1533-position model. The record is from RNAcentral.